GUGGAGCUUGAUCUUGUAAUUCUGGUACAACUCUUCAAUCUUCUGCAAUCGGAUAUCUCGAGCCCACUCAUGAUCUGAAAAAUCGUACCUCCUCUGUACAAAAUUAUCAAAAGUCAGUUAUAAAAUUAUUCUAAUCAAACAUAGUGUAAACUUAUCACAUGUAUAUAUAUAAUUAAGAUACACGUAUCCAAAUUUUCUUUCACACUCGGUCCUUGACACCAGCGUCCAUCAAUCACUAGUCUACGAGCAGUACGGAAAUGAUGUCGGACUGCCUCACAAGCACUCC
Molecule: long non-coding RNA, 286 nt
Filed under: Elaeis guineensis (African oil palm)
Lineage: Eukaryota; Viridiplantae; Streptophyta; Magnoliopsida; Arecales; Arecaceae
Description: long non-coding RNA (EGUI_LNC059500)
Source: RNAcentral